GUUCGCGACUUAUUUAAGCCGCGGCUUAUUUAGGCCGCGACUUAUUCUCGCUCGUAUAAAUGGCCCUAAUGAUCUCAUACUGGUUGUUCACGGGUACAGUCGCUUAUCUUUUAUUCUCAUUUUAGAUUCGAAAGUUUGAUAGCACGAGAGUGGCUUGCUGCAGGACAUUCGUUCAGAGAACGUUGUAUUAAACUAGGAACGUCAAAUAUGAGAUACAAAGGACAAGCACCGACCUUCCUUAUGUUCCUUGAUGCUGUUUACCAGGUG
Non-coding RNA from Paramuricea clavata, 267 nucleotides. Lineage: Eukaryota; Metazoa; Cnidaria; Anthozoa; Malacalcyonacea; Plexauridae. The record is from the annotation of a GenBank genome assembly.